This 1153-nucleotide long non-coding RNA is filed under the name Homo sapiens (human). Its description in RNAcentral is "small nucleolar RNA host gene 17, transcript variant 35 (SNHG17)". Lineage: Eukaryota; Metazoa; Chordata; Mammalia; Primates; Hominidae. The record is from RNAcentral.
AGUCCUUCGCCGUCCCUCGCCGUCCUUCGCCAUCGCACGCCACCGCACCCCAUCUCUCGAAAUCUGCAGACAUCUUGAUUUUUCCCACGCUGUCUGUCAGGUCUCCGCCGCCACUCGACGCCAGGGCGCCGGGUGAGUCCACAGCAGGGCGCAUGGUCGGCUCCACUCUCACCAUCGGGGGAAACUGAGGCCCCGGGGAAGGCGGCCAGAGAGGUCAGGCCCUGUCCUUGGUGCAGUGUCUCGUCCUCUUUGCCGGAGUGAGCCCCCCAGGAUUCGCGUGUCCUCGGGAAAGACACUGGCAGGCCUUGUGGGCUGUGCUGCACCUCGGACGGCUUCGCACCAGCCAGCGCCCUCUCUCUCCUGCAGCACUCUGAUCUGCACCCCCUGAGGGGCUUCCACUGUCCGCGGGGUGAGAAUGCCCCUGGGAGUGUCACAUGACUGCCGCCCCAUGUGUGUGAGAGGCGUCCUCUGGGAGAGCAUGGAUCCUGAGGUCCCAGGAACAUCCCGAGAGCCAAGUUCCCAGAUGCCAGCCAAGGGCCAUCUGACCUGUUUUGAAUCUCAAUUUCCUGAUACAGAAAACAAAGGAUUGUCAGCUGACCUCUGUCCUGUGUGCCCAGUGGCCCCAGGUGACGUGUCUUCAAGAAGAGGCUGAGCUGCGGUGCUUGUAAGAUGGGUCUGCUGUGUGCAGAGGCUCCAUGGGAUGUGUUGUCUUCAUAGUAGCAGGGCGCUGGACCAUGGGUCCGCAAGGUCUCAGCCUUAGAUCCAAGGACAGUCCAAGGAAGUCCUAAGACCAUGGAGUUGGUGAUCUGGGAUCUGGGUUUGCUGAUAUUUCUCACCGUGAAUCUCUUGGUGGUGUUUGUGGGCACGAGAGGGGCAGAGAAUGGAGAGUGAGGCUACCACAUGAAGCGUCACCAGAGCUGCUCCCUGCUGCCUGCUCAGAGCACCCCGGAUCCACUGUUCAAUCUGCACAAGAUUCGGGGUCCAGACAUGGGAGACUUCAGCUGCCUCAGAGGACCGUGGACAGGGAAGGCCAGCCUCGCAUCCCUCUGUCCAUGCCUGGAAUGACUUUAAUAACCAAGAGUUUUAUUUUUGAAUUUGUAGCUGUCGUUCACUUUUUACCCACCCAUUCAAUAAACCUUACAGAAUUGCUCCA